GGGACUGUCCCUAUAAAAUCGGGACAUCUGGUCACCCUAUCCUGGGGUGAAAUGGACUUUCCCUGCUGCAUUUCUGCACACACCUUCUCUUGGCCAGAGCUGCCUGCAGAGCAGACUCCAUCUUGGCCACAAAGGCGCUGAAGUUACACCCGUCUUCUCAGUGAGCUGGUAACUCUGAAACCUAAAGAUGACUGACAGGAUCCCACUGGUUCGUGGCACAUUUGCAGUCAGAGUUGCAGACAGAAAAUAAGGAGGUUUCAUGACGUGCAACUGGUUUGCUUACGAGAACUGGCAGGACUUUCAGUUCCCAAGAGGAGCGGCAUCUCAGGGACAGCAGAGGCAGACAGAGAAGGGUCCUGGAAGCGCUGCUCAUAAACAGGAGAAACCAAGAGCAAUUUGAAUUCCACAGAGCAUAGGAGGAGCUGUCUCUUCAGCCGGAACUGGUUCAUGGACAUGAGACACAGGGAACAGGAACAUUCUCUAAUGGAGAGGCUGAUUUGAUGGCUGAAAGGGUGGGGCAUCCACCUGCUGCCAAGACCCCACGAUCAUCCCAUCGGCUGCUGCUGCCUCCGCCUCUGGCUGGCUGCCAACCAGGGUGCUGCUGAGCCAGAAGAUCCUGUUGCAAUAAUUCCCCCAACUGACUAGGAGGAGAACACUGAGCCUGCAGUAGUCCUGGAAUACUAACAUGUUCCAGACUCGAAAACUCUUUGCAAGAGACAUCUGCAGAUUU
Molecule: long non-coding RNA, 730 nt
Organism: Mauremys reevesii (Reeves's turtle)
Lineage: Eukaryota; Metazoa; Chordata; Testudines; Geoemydidae
Exons: 3
Source: RefSeq, a predicted model, not a curated record